Molecule: RNase P RNA, 344 nt
Filed under: pig gut metagenome
Description: Bacterial RNase P class A
Rfam family: Bacterial RNase P class A
About the family: Ribonuclease P (RNase P) is a ubiquitous endoribonuclease, found in archaea, bacteria and eukarya as well as chloroplasts and mitochondria. Its best characterised activity is the generation of mature 5'-ends of tRNAs by cleaving the 5'-leader elements of precursor-tRNAs. Cellular RNase Ps are ribonucleoproteins.
Source: RNAcentral
AGUCGGUUGAACGACCGCGGGCACAAGGCGAAAGCCUGUGCGUGAGGAAAGUCCGGGCUCCACAGGGCAAGGAUAACGGGUAACGCCCGCCAGGGGUGACCCUCGGACAAGUGCAACAGAGAUAUACCGCCGGGAGGCUUGCCUUCCGGUAAGGGUGGAAAAGUGAGGUAAGAGCUCACUCGUCGCAUGGAGACAUGUGGACGCUGUAAACUCUAUCCGGAGCAACACCGUGGGAGAACACAUGGCCGGCCCGGCCGUUCUCAGGAGGUGGCUUGAACCUGCCGGCAACGGCAGGUCUAGAUAGAUGGUCGUUUUCAACAGAACCCGGCUUACAGACCGGCUCA